GACGAACGCUGGCGGCGUGCUUAACACAUGCAAGUCGAACGGAAAGGCCCUGCUUUUGUGGGGUGCUCGAGUGGCGAACGGGUGAGUAACACGUGAGUAACCUGCCCUUGACUUUGGGAUAACUUCAGGAAACUGGGGCUAAUACCGGAUAGGAGCUCCUGCUGCAUGGUGGGGGUUGGAAAGUUUCGGCGGUUGGGGAUGGACUCGCGGCUUAUCAGCUUGUUGGUGGGGUAGUGGCUUACCAAGGCUUUGACGGGUAGCCGGCCUGAGAGGGUGACCGGCGACAUUGGGACUGAGAUACGGCCCAGAAUCCUACGGGAGGCAGCAGUGGGGAAUAUUGCACAAUGGGCGGAAGCCUGAUGCAGCAACGCCGCGUGCGGGAUGACGGCCUUCGGGUUGUAAACCGAUUUCGCAUGUGACGAAGCGUGAGUGACGGUAAUGGGUAAAGAAGCACCGGCUAACUACGUG
Molecule: ribosomal RNA, 468 nt
Filed under: uncultured bacterium
Lineage: Bacteria
Description: partial 16S ribosomal RNA
Rfam family: Bacterial small subunit ribosomal RNA
Source: RNAcentral